Molecule: small RNA, 136 nt
Filed under: Salmonella enterica
Lineage: Bacteria; Pseudomonadati; Pseudomonadota; Gammaproteobacteria; Enterobacterales; Enterobacteriaceae
Description: RtT sRNA
Rfam family: RtT RNA
About the family: This family represents a bacterial cis-regulatory element known as RtT RNA. The exact function of RtT is unknown although it is thought that it may be involved in changing the cellular response in relation to amino acid starvation.
Source: RNAcentral
UAUCCCCCAAACCAAGGGGGGAUGAGAACCACCGACCGGGGUUCGACAACUGGCGCAGCCAGUUGGACAGACCACGAGCUUGCGAGGAGACUGCCCGAAGGGCGAGCGCAGCGAGUCAAUCCCCCCCUCACCGCCA